UCGUCGUUGUUGUCGUUGUUGGCGUUAAUGUCGCUGUUGUAAUUGUUGUUGUUGUUAUCAUUCUUCUCGUUGUUCUCGUCAUUGUCGUUGUUGUCAUCGUUGUCGUCGUCGUCCUUGUGGUUGUUGUUGUUGUAGUAGUCGUCGUCAUCGUCAUCGUCAUAGUUGUCAUCAUCAUCGCCAUCAUCGUCGUCGUCGUCGUUAUCGUCGUCUUCGUUGUUUUUGUUGUUGUUGAUGUCGUUGAUAUCAUUAUUGUAGUUGUCGCUGUUGUCGUUGUUGUUCUUGUUGUCCUUGAUGUCGUUGUUAA
This 304-nucleotide long non-coding RNA is filed under the name Hordeum vulgare. RNAcentral's name for it is "long non-coding RNA (HVUL_LNC020881)". Lineage: Eukaryota; Viridiplantae; Streptophyta; Magnoliopsida; Poales; Poaceae. The record is from RNAcentral.